GAGUUUUGGAAAGUUUUUAUAUUUUGUUAAUAAAAAUAGAUAUAAGGACUUAAAGGGUUUAUAUUUAGGUAGUGCUUGAGCCAAGGAAAAUGAUAGUCCACUAUCUUGACCCUAUGCAUCACAAACCAUGUGAGGACUUAAAGGAUAUCGUAAACAUGUAAGUUCUUCCUAUUAUUUUUCAUAGUAUUAUUUUUAAAUAAAAAAAAUACAUUCACCUCAAACACAUUUUUUUUUAUUAUUUAUAUAUAUUAAAACAUAUAACAUUUACCUAUUUUAAAAAUGUACCCAUUGAACUUAUUUACAUAGGACUCUUCCAAUAUAUGCAAAGAAAACAUCUAAGAGGGAGUCAUCUUAGCAACUAGUGCAAGUGACAUCCAAAAAUUUUUCUUUACACAUUAGCUUAUGCAUUUGCACCAUUUAUAUAUGUGAGUACUAAUGUUAUUUUAUAAUUGACCGAUUAGUGUCCAAGACAAGAAGGAGGGUUCGAAUGUGGCUACUUUGUUAUGAGAUUCAUUAAAGAGAUAAUUUUUUAUCCUACAAUUAUUGUUUUAAAGUUUUGUGAUAAAAAAAAACAUAUUCUCAAGUAGAAUUAUAUUUCCAUUUAUUCAUCAGAAGAAGCGCCCUUUGAUGAAAUCAGAGGAGAAUGGGCUACUUUUGUGCUACAACUAAUCAUGAAUCAUGUUAAUGCAUCAUGAUCACCAUGCAUGGUGUACACUCUUGGGAUGGUGAAAUGGAGAAUAAAAAGAAAGAAGAAGGCAACAAGAUUUUGGGUUUUUAAAUACAACUCUUAUGUUAUACGUUGUAGGACAUAGACGUUACUUUAAUUGCAACUGAGAAAUUUAGAUUUUAGAUGGGACUUUUAUGUCAUUUUAUGGUUAGCCGGUUUUAUGCUUAGGAAAUGGAGGUAUACAUGAAUCUUGGGAUCUUUAACAUUUCUAAAUCAUGUUUUGGUAUGUA
Vitis vinifera (wine grape) is the source of this 957-nucleotide long non-coding RNA. RefSeq lists it as uncharacterized. Lineage: Eukaryota; Viridiplantae; Streptophyta; Magnoliopsida; Vitales; Vitaceae. The transcript has 3 exons. The record is from RefSeq and is a predicted model, not a curated record.